GGCCAGGUGGGGGCCCAGAGUGGGAGGCCAGGGUGGGCAAGAGGGUGCUGGGGACUAACGGGCAGGUGAGGAGGGAGCAAGAGCAGAGGUGAGGCAGGCCCUGAGGACCGCGCCCCGAGGCGGGCACCUGAGCAGCGAGAGGGAGCAGAGGGCAUGCUCUGAGAAGAACAGGGACGACCGCAGACAGGAGACCCAGGAGGGCCGGGCACCUGUGUCCAGUGCUGCGGAGACGGCCAAGCGUGGGUGCCGCCCCCACAGUACAGCCAGAACCCUCCCCACCGCCCCUCCCACCCAAGUCCUCACCACCUGCCCUGGAGCUGCUUUAUGGCAGCAGCUUCCUGCCACCCCCCUCGCUCCCAGUCUCCAUUCCCCCAGGGCAGCCAAGGGGAGCCUGGCCACACCUAAGCCAGUCACACUCCUCCUCUGCUCCACACCCUCCCAUGGCUCCCACGUCCCUCAGAGCGAGAGCCAAAGUCUGCACCCCCACCUCCGAUGUUCUAGAGAUCUGCCACCCUCACCCCACCCCGGCUCUCCAACCUUGUCUCUCCCACUUUCCCCUGCUGUGUUUCAGCCAUGCUGGCCUCCUUGCUGCUCCGUGAGCAAGCCAAGCCUAUUCGCACCUCAGGGCCUUUGCACCUGCCCUGCCCACUGCAUGGAACAUGCUUCUUUGAGACUUUGCAAAGCUCCAUCCCUCCCCUCUUCAGUGAGGCCUUUCCUGGCUGCCUUGUGCAACACGUCCCCAGCCGCAGCACUCUGCACCCUCUGCCUUGAGCAUUUCCCUCCACAGCGUGUAUGUGAAGAGUCCUAUAUACGUGCAUGAACUGUGAAUGCUGCUGUGUCUGUCAGCCCGGGCCAGCUCCAGUGUCUGCUCUGCUCACCGUCGUGUCCCCAUGCCUAGAAGAGCACCUGUCCCAGGAAGCCAGGAGGUGUACAGACCAGGCCUGGGCAGCUACUCAACAUUAUCCUCAAGUACUUGGGCUCCACUCCACUCUACUCUACCUUCCUUCAGGCGUGCACUGAAGGGGUUUUCACUCAAGGCACAAAGGAACGGCAGAGGGAGCCGCGUCAGCCCCGCAGGAUCAGCCUUCUGACUCAUCCGUCCUUUCUGUGAAGGCAGAAGAACUUCUCAUUCCACUGAAGGUGGCAGGAGGACAGGAGAAGCCAGGAGGUGCCCAGCGCUGCAGAGCUGACAUGGGAGUGCUUCUAGAGACCACCUCAUCCCACAGAGGCUCAGAGAGGGGAUGAUGACGCUGGGGCCCUGGAGAAGACGGGCCUGGCCGCAGGUCUCCGGAACAUCAGGGGCCAGGUGGGCUCCAGCUCUGGUAACACGUCCCACCCCUUGCCAGGCUUGGCUGUGCACUUGUUACACAGGGGCCAGACUUCCGGGUGGAGUAUCGGCUCCGCCCCCCUCAAGCUGGGUGACUUUGGACAACGACCUCUCUGGGCUGCGUUUGCCCUGUCGUAAAUGCGAACAGUCGAAGUCUCAGCGCCCACUGCACAGGUGCUACAAAGGUUAAGCGAGGUGGUCCGUGUACAGUGUGAAGAAUGGUGCCCACACCUGGAAAUGGGCAGGAACUGCACGUUUUCACUAGGUGCGGUGGACAGUGCUGGGCGCGGCAAACACUUUCUCGCCUGCCUUCCUCACCACACCCCGGAAAGUGCCCCCGCCUGCAGCUGGGGAGACUGAGACGCAGAGGGAAGCCCAGUGUGCAGCGCUCCCUGCCCCUGUGCGUCCUGCUGGACAACACAGCAAGGCCAUCCGCCCUUGGUCACUGCCCACCUGCUUCCAGGUUCACAGUUAUUCUAACUCUCAUUUCCAAGCACCCAUCUGGGCUUGGAGAAGCCCCGGGAAUGGUGCAGACGAUGGCCCUGGUUUUCCUGUCAUGGAGAGACCAGGGCUGACCUUCAGCGACUACCCACCGCUGCCUGGACCUUCCGUAAGCAAACAAAUACAUUAAAAAGACAAAUUCCCAAAGUGAUCAUGCCAGGUGAAGAAAAAUAGGCAGUGAAGAGAUGAGGACAGGGUAGGUACAUUAAGCUAGGGUAGGUGGCCACGGAAAACCUCUCAGGACAUACUGUUUGAGUUGUGGAGAAAAAGACAGAUCAGGCUAGCUGAAGGAAGCAAUCCCAACCAGGGAAAAGAGUGGUGCAAAGGCCCUGGGGCAGGCAUGUGUUUGACAUCUUUGAGGACCAGAGAGGUGGCUGGCACAGUAGUGCAUAGAAUAAACUGGAAGAGGCACAGAGCAGGAGGAGAUGAGGCUGAUGUUAAGGAUCCCAGGAACGAAGCCACUUCUCCCGACGGUACAGCUCUUCCAAAGCAGGGGCGGAUUACACUUGAAAGGGGAAACAAAUGUGGCAUGCAUACAUCAUUUCUGAUUCCAGAAUGUUUUGCAUAAAAGCUAACACACAGCUCCUGGGCACAGGCACUGUUAUCAAGAAUCAAACAUUAAAAAUGCACACUCUUUGAACGGACAAUUUUGCUUCCUGACACUGAUUCUAAAGAAGCAGCGUUGGAUGGAGAUGAAAAUUCAGCUCCAAGGUGACUGGGGCAUGCUCAUCACAGCCGGGAAACCCCAGCAAACGCUAAGCGCCCAAGGAGGGAUGGCUGCACGCGCUGCACUGCCCCAGGCUGCGGGAUCUUACGCGGCCGUGUGAAACGGCAUUGCAGAGAAACGCUUAACAGCACAGAAAGACACGCACCACACACUGUGAAAACGAAAACAGCUGGUCCCUUCUCUCUAAAUAUAAAUAUUCGUGUACAGGCAUAAAAAGAGAUUAGAAAUGCUAAUGUUA
Non-coding RNA from Microcebus murinus (gray mouse lemur), 2793 nucleotides. Lineage: Eukaryota; Metazoa; Chordata; Mammalia; Primates; Cheirogaleidae. The record is from RefSeq and is a predicted model, not a curated record.